This 421-nucleotide ribosomal RNA is filed under the name uncultured bacterium. RNAcentral's name for it is "bacterial SSU rRNA". It matches the Rfam family "Bacterial small subunit ribosomal RNA", at positions 355 to 787 of the family's 1533-position model. The record is from RNAcentral.
UCGGGAAUAUUGCGCAAUGGAGGAAACUCUGACGCAGUGACGCCGCGUGCAGGAAGAAGGGUUUUCGGAUUGUAAACUGCUUUUAGAUAGGGGAGAAAAAAAUUGACAGUACCUAUAGAAUAAGCUCCGGCUAACUACGUGCCAGCAGCCGCGGUAAUACGUAGGGAGCAAGCGUUAUCCGGAUUUAUUGGGUGUAAAGGGUGCGUAGAUGGAUAAACAAGUUGUUUGUGAAAUACCUCGGCUCAACUGAGGAACUGCAAGCAAAACUGUAUAUCUUGAGUACUGGAGGGGAAAGCGGAAUUCCUAGUGUAGCGGUGAAAUGCGUAGAUAUUAGGAAGAACACCGGUGGCGAAGGCGGCUUUCUGGACAGAAACUGACAUUGAGGCACGAAAGUGUGGGGAGCAAACAGGAUUAGAUACCC